GGAAGUGUUAGUUGCUCAGUUGUGUCAGACUCUGUUAUCCCUUGUCACAGACUGUAACUCUUUGUGAUCCUGCCAGGCCCCUCUGUCCAUGGGAUUCUCCAGGCAAGAAUACUGGAGUGGGCAGUCAUUCCCUUCUCCAGGGGAUCUUCCCAACCAGGCAGAUUCUUUACCGCCUGAGCCACCAGGAAAGUCCUGGAGUGAGGAAAGCAUCUAGUCUUGCCCCCAUCUUCAUCUUCUUAGAAUCCUCCCUUAGCCACUCUUGGCUUUUCCUGGAAGAACGGCCUCUGCAGCUGUCGCUUGGCUGGAGGAAAGGCGGGGGACCCCACAGCCCCCCUGCCCAAGAACCAGGGACAUCGCCACAUUCUGCGCCCUUAGGACUAACGUCAGGUUCGGCCUAGAGUAGGUUUUGGCAAAAUGUCUGCCAAUGAAUCGUGUCCCCUCUUCCUGGAGAUAUUAAGCAAUAUUCUUUGCUUUGUCCACACUUUCAGGAGGAGAGAAGGUGUAUCGGCAAAGGAUGGUGCUGAAGCAUGAAGCUGCUGCUGCAGCCUUGAAGCUGGAAGGCUCGCCCUGAAGUUAGACGGGUUGGGGUACCCAACCCCUGCCAAACCCACCUCUGUGUUCCUGUCUGCCUGGGAAAAAGAAAAGACACUCUCGAUCCGUCACCUGAAGUAGCCACAAUUAGGAAAGUGUCAGGACUGCAUUGUCUGAGUUCUUUGCCAGGAUCCCGGGAGUAGGGGUGGGGAGGGACAAAGGUGUGGGCUGAGCGGACCCUUCAGACAACCCCGUUGUCUCCAGGGCGGGGGGAUCUCUUUAAAAAAACACGUGAGGCUCCCCUGGAACUGUUCAUGUCCUUCUUCUCAAGGGCACACACGGCAGAAGCGACCCCGGCUCUCAGAUCACAGGCUCUGUG
RNAcentral lists this long non-coding RNA (910 nucleotides) under Bos indicus x Bos taurus (hybrid cattle). RNAcentral's name for it is "lncRNA (ENSBIXG00005022468.1)". Lineage: Eukaryota; Metazoa; Chordata; Mammalia; Artiodactyla; Bovidae. The record is from RNAcentral.